Molecule: long non-coding RNA, 355 nt
Filed under: Capsella rubella
Lineage: Eukaryota; Viridiplantae; Streptophyta; Magnoliopsida; Brassicales; Brassicaceae
Description: long non-coding RNA (CRUB_LNC003310)
Source: RNAcentral
AUUAAUCUAAACAAGUACCAUUGAAAAAAAAAACCAAGACCAAAAUUAAUUAGGACAUAUGAUUGACUGAUCGAUAUAUAUAGUUCAUGCCUCGUAUAUAUAUCAAGUCAAGAUCAGAUGGUUGAUGUAAGAGUAGGUUUUUUUUUUUUUUUAAAUCAGCUGAGUAAGACUUUGGCAUGGCUAAAACAAGGGUAAUGAAAUAAUCAACAAAAUAUCAAGCAACAGAGGAAUCAAUAUACAAAUUUUUUUAUAUUAUGAUGUCAAAAUGUAUAUCUCUAUCAAGAAAAAGUAAUAGUUAGGCAUGCAAGAAUAAGUCAAUACUUCUCAUCAACUUUUCGAUAAGAUGAAAAAUCUC